CGACUUUAGAAAUCGUGAGGGUUCAAGUCCCUCUAUCCCCAAAUCCCCUACAAAGUAUU
RNAcentral lists this transfer RNA (59 nucleotides) under Phedimus aizoon. RNAcentral's name for it is "partial tRNA-Leu". The record is from RNAcentral. Lineage: Eukaryota; Viridiplantae; Streptophyta; Magnoliopsida; Saxifragales; Crassulaceae.